This 1367-nucleotide ribosomal RNA is filed under the name Klebsiella pneumoniae. Its description in RNAcentral is "bacterial LSU rRNA". It matches the Rfam family "Bacterial large subunit ribosomal RNA", at positions 647 to 1999 of the family's 2925-position model. Lineage: Bacteria; Pseudomonadati; Pseudomonadota; Gammaproteobacteria; Enterobacterales; Enterobacteriaceae. The record is from RNAcentral.
UAACCGUAUAGGGGAGCCGCAGGGAAACCGAGUCUUAACUGGGCGUUAAGUUGCAGGGUAUAGACCCGAAACCCGGUGAUCUAGCCAUGGGCAGGUUGAAGGUUGGGUAACACUAACUGGAGGACCGAACCGACUAAUGUUGAAAAAUUAGCGGAUGACUUGUGGCUGGGGGUGAAAGGCCAAUCAAACCGGGAGAUAGCUGGUUCUCCCCGAAAGCUAUUUAGGUAGCGCCUCGUGAACUCAUCUUCGGGGGUAGAGCACUGUUUCGGCUAGGGGGUCAUCCCGACUUACCAACCCGAUGCAAACUACGAAUACCGAAGAAUGUUAUCACGGGAGACACACGGCGGGUGCUAACGUCCGUCGUGAAGAGGGAAACAACCCAGACCGCCAGCUAAGGUCCCAAAGUCAUGGUUAAGUGGGAAACGAUGUGGGAAGGCACAGACAGCCAGGAUGUUGGCUUAGAAGCAGCCAUCAUUUAAAGAAAGCGUAAUAGCUCACUGGUCGAGUCGGCCUGCGCGGAAGAUGUAACGGGGCUAAACCAUGCACCGAAGCUGCGGCAGCGACACUAUGUGUUGUUGGGUAGGGGAGCGUUCUGUAAGCCUGCGAAGGUGACCUGUGAGGGUUGCUGGAGGUAUCAGAAGUGCGAAUGCUGACAUAAGUAACGAUAAAGCGGGUGAAAAGCCCGCUCGCCGGAAGACCAAGGGUUCCUGUCCAACGUUAAUCGGGGCAGGGUGAGUCGACCCCUAAGGCGAGGCCGAAAGGCGUAGUCGAUGGGAAACAGGUUAAUAUUCCUGUACUUGGUGUUACUGCGAAGGGGGGACGGAGAAGGCUAUGUUAGCCGGGCGACGGUUGUCCCGGUUUAAGCAUGUAGGCUGAUUAUCCAGGCAAAUCCGGAUAAUCAAGGCUGAGGUGUGAUGACGAGGCACUACGGUGCUGAAGUAACAAAUGCCCUGCUUCCAGGAAAAGCCUCUAAGCAUCAGGUAACAUUAAAUCGUACCCCAAACCGACACAGGUGGUCAGGUAGAGAAUACCAAGGCGCUUGAGAGAACUCGGGUGAAGGAACUAGGCAAAAUGGUGCCGUAACUUCGGGAGAAGGCACGCUGGUGUGUAGGUGAAGCCCCUGCGGGUGGAGCUGAGACCAGUCGAAGAUACCAGCUGGCUGCAACUGUUUAUUAAAAACACAGCACUGUGCAAACACGAAAGUGGACGUAUACGGUGUGACGCCUGCCCGGUGCCGGAAGGUUAAUUGAUGGGGUUAUCCGUAAGGAGAAGCUCUUGAUCGAAGCCCCGGUAAACGGCGGCCGUAACUAUAACGGUCCUAAGGUAGCGAAAUUCCUUGUCGGGUAAGUUCCGACCUGCACGAAUGG